CGACUAAGCGUACACGGUGGAUGCCCUGGCAGUCAGAGGCGAUGAAGGACGUGCUAAUCUGCGAUAAGCGCCGGUAAGGUGAUAUGAACCGUUAUAACCGGCGAUUUCCGAAUGGGGAAACCCAGUGUGAUUCGUCACACUAUCAUUAACUGAAUCCAUAGGUUAAUGAGGCGAACCGGGGGAACUGAAACAUCUAAGUACCCCGAGGAAAAGAAAUCAACCGAGAUUCCCCCAGUAGCGGCGAGCGAACGGGGAGGAGCCCAGAGCCUGAAUCAGCAUGUGUGUUAGUGGAAGCGUCUGGAAAGGUGCGCGAUACAGGGUGACAGCCCCGUACACAAAAGCGCAUGUGCUGUGAGCUCGAUGAGUAGGGCGGGACACGUGGUAUCCUGUCUGAAUAUGGGGGGACCAUCCUCCAAGGCUAAAUACUCCUGACUGACCGAUAGUGAACCAGUACCGUGAGGGAAAGGCGAAAAGAACCCCGGCGAGGGGAGUGAAAAAGAACCUGAAACCGUGUACGUACAAGCAGUGGGAGCNNNNNNNNNNNNNNNNNNNNNNNNNNNNNNNNNNNNNNNNNNNNNNNNGGCGUUAAGUUGCAGGGUAUAGACCCGAAACCCGGUGAUCUAGCCAUGGGCAGGUUGAAGGUUGGGUAACACUAACUGGAGGACCGAACCGACUAAUGUUGAAAAAUUAGCGGAUGACCUGUGGCUGGGGGUGAAAGGCCAAUCAAACCGGGAGAUAGCUGGUUCUCCCCGAAAGCUAUUUAGGUAGCGCCUCGUGAAUUCAUCUCCGGGGGUAGAGCACUGUUUCGGCUAGGGGGCCAUCCCGGCUUACCAACCCGAUGCAAACUGCGAAUACCGGAGAAUGUUAUCACGGGAGACACACGGCGGGUGCUAACGUCCGUCGUGAAGAGGGAAACAACCCAGACCGCCAGCUAAGGUCCCAAAGUCAUGGUUAAGUGGGAAACGAUGUGGGAAGGCCCAGACAGCCAGGAUGUUGGCUUAGAAGCAGCCAUCAUUUAAAGAAAGCGUAAUAGCUCACUGGUCGAGUCGGCCUGCGCGGAAGAUGUAACGGGGCUAAACCAUGCACCGAAGCUGCGGCAGCGANNNNNNNNNNNNNNNNNNNNNNNNNNNNNNNNNUGCUGGAGGUAUCAGAAGUGCGAAUGCUGACAUAAGUAACGAUAAAGCGGGUGAAAAGCCCGCUCGCCGGAAGACCAAGGGUUCCUGUCCAACGUUAAUCGGGGCAGGGUGAGUCGACCCCUAAGGCGAGGCCGAAAGGCGUAGUCGAUGGGAAACGGGUUAAUAUUCCCGUACUUGGUGUUACUGCGAAGGGGGGACGGAGAAGGCUAUGUUGGCCGGGCGACGGUUGUCCCGGUUUAAGCGUGUAGGUGUGUGUUCCAGGUAAAUCCGGUUCACUUUAACACUGAGGCGUGACGACGAGGCACUACGGUGCUGAAGCAACAAAUGCCCUGCUUCCAGGAAAAGCCUCUAAGCAUCAGGUAACAUCAAAUCGUACCCCAAACCGACACAGGUGGUCAGGUAGAGAAUACCAAGGCGCUUGAGAGAACUCGGGUGAAGGAACUAGGCAAAAUGGUGCCGUAACUUCGGGAGAAGGCACGCUGACACGUAGGUGAAGUGAUUUACUCACGGAGCUGAAGUCAGUCGAAGAUACCAGCUGGCUGCAACUGUUUAUUAAAAACACAGCACUGUGCAAACACGAAAGUGGACGUAUACGGUGUGACGCCUGCCCGGUGCCGGAAGGUUAAUUGAUGGGGUCAGCGCAAGCGAAGCUCCUGAUCGAAGCCCCGGUAAACGGCGGCCGUAACUAUAACGGUCCUAAGGUAGCGAAAUUCCUUGUCGGGUAAGUUCCGACCUGCACGAAUGGCGUAAUGAUGGCCAGGCUGUCUCCACCCGAGACUCAGUGAAAUUGAACUCGCUGUGAAGAUGCAGUGUACCCGCGGCAAGACGGAAAGACCCCGUGAACCUUUACUAUAGCUUGACACUGAACAUUGAGCCUUGAUGUGUAGGAUAGGUGGGAGGCUUUGAAGUGUGGACGCCAGUCUGCAUGGAGCCGACCUUGAAAUACCACCCUUUAAUGUUUGAUGUUCUAACGUGGACCCGUAAUCCGGGUUGCGGACAGUGUCUGGUGGGUAGUUUGACUGGGGCGGUCUCCUCCUAAAGAGUAACGGAGGAGCACGAAGGUUGGCUAAUCCUGGUCGGACAUCAGGAGGUUAGUGCAAUGGCAUAAGCCAGCUUGACUGCGAGCGUGACGGCGCGAGCAGGUGCGAAAGCAGGUCAUAGUGAUCCGGUGGUUCUGAAUGGAAGGGCCAUCGCUCAACGGAUAAAAGGUACUCCGGGGAUAACAGGCUGAUACCGCCCAAGAGUUCAUAUCGACGGCGGUGUUUGGCACCUCGAUGUCGGCUCAUCACAUCCUGGGGCUGAAGUAGGUCCCAAGGGUAUGGCUGUUCGCCAUUUAAAGUGGUACGCGAGCUGGGUUUAGAACGUCGUGAGACAGUUCGGUCCCUAUCUGCCGUGGGCGCUGGAGAACUGAGGGGGGCUGCUCCUAGUACGAGAGGACCGGAGUGGACGCAUCACUGGUGUUCGGGUUGUCAUGCCAAUGGCACUGCCCGGUAGCUAAAUGCGGAAGAGAUAAGUGCUGAAAGCAUCUAAGCACGAAACUUGCCCCGAGAUGAGUUCUCCCUGAGACUUAGAGUCUCCUGAAGGAACGUUGAAGACGACGACGUUGAUAGGCCGGGUGUGUAAGCGCAGCGAUGCGUUGAGCUAACCGGUACUAAUGAACCGUGAGG
This 2803-nucleotide ribosomal RNA is filed under the name Salmonella enterica subsp. enterica serovar Typhimurium. Its description in RNAcentral is "partial 23S ribosomal RNA". It matches the Rfam family "Bacterial large subunit ribosomal RNA". Lineage: Bacteria; Pseudomonadati; Pseudomonadota; Gammaproteobacteria; Enterobacterales; Enterobacteriaceae. The record is from RNAcentral.